UACCUUCUCUGCAAUGUUCAUAUGACUCUACAUUGCAUUUGUGCUACCAUACAUAAUCUCUUUGUGCUAGGGAACUGGCGAAGAAGUUUCAAUUUUUGUUUUUGAUGUGAAAAAUUCUCCACCUGAUCAGGUACAGUCAUAGACUAUGGUUUAGUUUUCUUUGUGUACAAAGGGGGGUUAAAAAAUAUUUUUCCGGACAUUACAUUUUUGGAUUGUUCAAUGUACCAUAAUUCGUUACAUUUUUUGUAAAUUUAUCGAAAUUUUUGCUGCAACUAUUACUUUUUAAUUAAGUGCCAGUCAAAUAUUUUUGCUGACAACGAAAAGAAUUUUCCAACAAAUCCGCUAUUUUGAGAUUUUUCAGGGGGGUGUCACACCCCACACCUUCUAGCAACUCCCCUGGUACAGUACACAAGCCUGUCGUAUACGAUGUUAAGACAAAAAAAUUACAAAUGUAUUGAUUUGCAGAUGACAAAAUUUUCACUUUUUGAAUGAAAUUUGUGCAAAGAAAUAUUUUCAAAAUAUAAUGUAUUCUAAUAUUCUGAGAUGCACCUGUGUAUACUGCACACAAUUUUAAGACCUAACCAUGAAUGGUUGUGAUAAAUGGAGCACUAGGUCUUCUGGCUGGAAUUGAACCUGCGGCCCUGGUACGGUGCUCUGACCAACUGAGCUACAUGGGCCAGUUGUUGAGCUGUAACUGCAAGUUUAUGUAGAUAUAGAUGUUCGGGUAUGUGGAUUGCAGGUGAACCUGAAACUUUAAGAUGCUUUUGCACUUUACUUGGUUGAAAUUGAAUGGUUGGUUUGGUAGAUAAUCCCAACCCCGUUCCCAGGGCCUUGUGCCCUUUCUUCUCUCCGGGGCACAUUUUCGUACCCAGAGCCCUUCUUAUGCGCGAUGCGACGAAUGGCUCUGGCCAAAUCCAUAACCGGAUACCAUAAAAACAUGGUAAGAAAACAAUAUCCAGUGUUUGAACUAACCAUUCCAAUCAGAUGCCAGUUUGGAUAUGGAUAUAUAUAUAUAUAUAUAUAUAUAUAUAUAUAUAUAUAUAUAUAUAUAUAUAUAUAUAUAUAUAUAUAUAUAUAUAUAUAUAUAUAUAUAUAUAUAUAUAUAUAUAUACAAUUUCAAGACCUAGAGUAGGUCAAAAUUGGUUAGGUCUUAAAAUUGUGUAUAUAGAUCUGUGUUCACUUGGAUUAUCUACCAAAUCCAGCAUUCAAGUUCAACCAAGUGAAGUACAAAAAUUACAUCUAAAUUUCAAGUUUACUGUCAGUAGUAAUUGUACAUGCUUGUUUCUUACUUCAACUGCAAUAUAGCAUGAGGUUGCAAAGGCUGAGUUCAAGAGAUUGAAGACGUUGAGACAUCCGACUGUCUUGCGUUUUGUUGAUG
Molecule: non-coding RNA, 1378 nt
Organism: Paramuricea clavata
Lineage: Eukaryota; Metazoa; Cnidaria; Anthozoa; Malacalcyonacea; Plexauridae
Source: the annotation of a GenBank genome assembly